This 1421-nucleotide ribosomal RNA is filed under the name metagenome. RNAcentral's name for it is "bacterial SSU rRNA". It matches the Rfam family "Bacterial small subunit ribosomal RNA". The record is from RNAcentral.
AGAGUUUGAUCCUAGCUCAGGGUGAACGCUGGAAAUGUGGAUACCGGCAUGCAAGUCAAGGGGCCGCAAGGCACCGGCGAACGGCUUAGUAACACGUGGAUACAUACCUUAAAGUGGGGCAUAGCUCGUCGAAAGACGGGGUAAUUUCCCAUAGUCUCGCAAGAGUAAAGGCGCAAGCCGCUUUAAGAAUGGUCCGCGGUCUAUCAGCUAGUUGGUGGGGUAAUGGCUCACCAAGGCUAUGACGGAUAGGGGGCGUGAGAGCGCGACCCCCAAGAAUGGCACUGCGAUACGGGCCAUACUCCUACGGGAGGCUGCAGUCGAGAAUCUUCCACAAUGGACGAAAGUCUGAUGGAGCGACAUUUCGUGAAGGAUGAAGCCCUUCGGGGUGUAAACUUCUUUUAUCUGGGAGCAAAUUAUUGAGAGUACCAGAUGAAUAAGGGGAUACUAAUUCUGUGCCAGCAGUAGCGGUAAUACAGAAUCCCCGAGCGUUACCCGGAUUUAUUGGGCGUAAAGGGUUCGUAGGUGGUUUGGUAAGUUCAAGAUUAAACCUCAUCGGCUUAACCUUUGAGCUGUUUUGAAUACUGCCAGACUAAGAGGGCGUUAGAGGCAAACGGAACCGACGGAGUAGGGGUGAAAUCCGUUGAUAUCGUCGGGAACACCAAAAGCGAAGGCAGUUUGCUGGGACGACCCUGACACUGAGGAACGAAAGCGUGGGGAGCAAAAAGGAUUAGAUACCCUUGUAGUCCACGCUGUAAACUAUGGAUACUGGAUAUUGGCAGUGUCGACCCUGCCAGUGUCGAAGCUAACGCGUUAAGUAUCCCGCCUGGGAAGUACGGUGGCAACACUAAAACUCAAAGGAAUAGACGGGGACUCACACAAGCAGUGGACCAUGUGGCUUAAUUCGACAACAAACGAAGAACCUUACCAGGACUAGAAACCCAACUGACCAUCAUAUGAAAGUAUGACUUCGCAAGACAGUUGGGCAGGUGCUGCAUGGUUGUCGUCAGUUCGUGUCUUGAGACGUACCGUUAAUUCGGGUAACGAACGCAACCCUUGCUCUGUGUUUUACAUGUCACAGAGGACUGCCCGAGAUAAUUGGGAGGAAGGUGAGGAUGACGCCAAAUCAGCAUGGCCCUUGAUGUCCUGGGCUGCACACGUGGUACAAUGGCCGGUACAAUGGGAAGCAAAACCGCAAGGCGAAGCUAAUCCCACCAAAGCCGGUCUCAGUUCGGAUUGAGGGCUGAAACUCGCCCUCAUGAAGCUGGAAUUGCUAGUAAUCGCCAAUCAGCUACGUGGCGAUGAAUACGUUCCUGAGUCUUGUACUCACCGCCCGUCAAGCCAAGCAAGUUGGGGAUAGCCGAAGUUCCAUGCAAAUGGGCCUAAGCUAGAUUCAAUAAGAAGGGCUAAGUCGUAACAAGGCA